Molecule: long non-coding RNA, 322 nt
Filed under: Chinchilla lanigera (long-tailed chinchilla)
Lineage: Eukaryota; Metazoa; Chordata; Mammalia; Rodentia; Chinchillidae
Description: lncRNA (ENSCLAG00000028943.1)
Source: RNAcentral
GGGUGGGUGCAGACUUCCUCUGUCCCUCUUUUCCAGGAUCAACAUCAUCAAGGAAGAAGCCAAAAAAGGGGAAAUUAGACCCAAGGCAGAGCGAGAGUGGCCCCUGACUCCAUCUGCUGCACCCCGCAAACCAGAACCAGUUGCGCUGGAGACGAGAACACCCGGGCCUGCGUCCCAGGGUACUGGCCCAGGAGGAGGAGGAGGAUUUAGAAGUUACCUGACUCCCGGGUCCCUUGUGCCCAGUCCAGCCUGAGCCACGCAGGUGGGUCCCUUGGGUGCGAAGGUGUUAAUAACGCUCCCUGGGGGACCAACUUUCCCAGGG